RNAcentral lists this transfer RNA (88 nucleotides) under Chelatococcus reniformis. RNAcentral's name for it is "tRNA-Val". The record is from RNAcentral. Lineage: Bacteria; Pseudomonadati; Pseudomonadota; Alphaproteobacteria; Hyphomicrobiales; Chelatococcaceae.
CGCCGUGAGCCUCCGGCAGGUGCUCGCUCACGCCGAGCAACUCCUUGGCUGCCGGGCCGAGCUCUCGUUCCACCCGACGCGGGCCGGC